Molecule: unclassified non-coding RNA, 343 nt
Filed under: soil metagenome
Description: partial contains 5.8S ribosomal RNA, internal transcribed spacer 2, and large subunit ribosomal RNA
Rfam family: 5.8S ribosomal RNA (bases 1-120)
Source: RNAcentral
GAUGAAGAACGUAGCGAAAUGCGAUAAGUAAUGUGAAUUGCAGAAUUCAGUGAAUCAUCGAAUCUUUGAACGCACAUUGCGCCCGCCAGCAUUCUGGCGGGCAUGCCUGUUCGAGCGUCAUUUCAACCCUCGAGCCCCCCCGGGGGCCUCGGUGUUGGGGGACGGCACACCAGCCGCCCCCGAAAUGCAGUGGCGACCCCGCCGCAGCCUCCCCUGCGUAGUAGCACACACCUCGCACCGGAGCGCGGAGGCGGUCACGCCGUAAAACGCCCAACUUUCUUAGAGUUGACCUCGGAUCAGGUAGGAAUACCCGCUGAACUUAAGCAUAUCAAUAAGUGGAGGA